This 337-nucleotide unclassified non-coding RNA is filed under the name soil metagenome. RNAcentral's name for it is "partial contains 5.8S ribosomal RNA, internal transcribed spacer 2, and large subunit ribosomal RNA". The stretch from base 1 to 120 matches the Rfam family "5.8S ribosomal RNA", at positions 35 to 154 of the family's 154-position model. The record is from RNAcentral.
GAUGAAGAACGUAGCGAAAUGCGAUAAGUAGUGUGAAUUGCAGAAUUCAGUGAAUCAUCGAAUCUUUGAACGCACAUUGCGCCCCAUGGUAUUCCGUGGGGCAUGCCUGUUCGAGCGUCAUUUACCCCCUCAAGCUCCGCUUGGUGUUGGGCGUCUGUCCCGCUUCGCGCGCGGACUCGCCCCAAAGGUAUUGGCAGCGGUCGUGCCAGCUUCUCGCGCAGCACAUUGCGCUUCUCGAGGCACCGGUGGGCCCGCGUCCAUCAAGCUCACCCCCCCAGUUUGACCUCGGAUCAGGUAGGGAUACCCGCUGAACUUAAGCACAUCAAUAAGCGGAGGA